This 497-nucleotide ribosomal RNA is filed under the name uncultured bacterium. Its description in RNAcentral is "partial 16S ribosomal RNA". It matches the Rfam family "Bacterial small subunit ribosomal RNA", at positions 28 to 507 of the family's 1533-position model. The record is from RNAcentral.
GACGAACGCUGGCGGCGUGCCUAAUACAUGCAAGUUGAGCGAUGAAGAUUGGUGCUUGCACCAAUUUGAAGAGCAGCGAACGGGUGAGUAACGCGUGGGGAAUCUGCCUUUGAGCGGGGGACAACAUUUGGAAACGAAUGCUAAUACCGCAUAACAACUUUAAACAUAAGUUUUAAGUUUGAAAGAUGCAAUUGCAUCACUCAAAGAUGAUCCCGCGUUGUAUUAGCUAGUUGGUGAGGUAAAGGCUCACCAAGGCGAUGAUACAUAGCCGACCUGAGAGGGUGAUCGGCCACAUUGGGACUGAGACACGGCCCAAACUCCUACGGGAGGCAGCAGUAGGGAAUCUUCGGCAAUGGACGAAAGGCUGACCGAGCAACGCCGCGGGAGUGAAGAAGGGUUUCGGAUCGGAAAACUCUGUUGGUAGAGAAGAACGUUGGUGAGAGUGGAAAGCUCAUCAAGUGACGGUAACUACCCAGAAAGGGACGGCUAACUACGUG